Long non-coding RNA from Oncorhynchus kisutch (coho salmon), 2414 nucleotides. Lineage: Eukaryota; Metazoa; Chordata; Actinopteri; Salmoniformes; Salmonidae. The record is from Ensembl.
GGUUGGUGUGAGCGAGGUGGUGGACACCUGGCCUUCAUUCUAAAUAUCGAUACACAGCAGUUCCUACAGAAGCACCUGCAGCCAGAGCAGGACUGGUGGCUGGGUCUGGCACCUGCCUCCCCAAACCUAACACUGUUGCUAAAGGUCCUCUCUCCUGGCAUGAUGGCUCUGACGUCAGCUACUCUAACUGGGUGAACGACCCUGAUCCAGGGGCUGGCUGUGGUCACAUACUGAGGAGCUCAGGGUUCCAGUGGGAGGCAACAAGCAACUGUAGCCAGGAGCUGCACUUCAUCUGCCAAUUUGGUGUCUGGAGCCAACGGCAGCAUCUCAAAGACCAGAGACAUUUGAAAACGGAAGCAUGCAGGUUUACAAUAUCUCAACCACUAUCCAAGGAUAUUUGCAAGUGUAAGUCAGGUCCUGGAUUGUCUUCUCACACAUGGAUGUGGAUAACACAGCAGUUGUUUGUCACAACAGUUCAGACCUCAGACAGAAAAGCAUAUGAGAGUUUGUCGAGCCUACACCUUGAGAAUUACUGCCAGUCCAGAAACUACCCGUCAAGACACUGAAAGCGUCAAACUUGAGUAGAGGAAGACUGUAAGGGUAAGGGAAAAUGCAACGAUAAAACAACGGACAAGACUUGUUUGAUUGAAAAAGACUGUCUUCCAAACCCAUUCGAGCACUUUUUCUGUGAAGAGACGGAUUGGCAAUGGGAAAUGGGUUGACUGGAUUUAAACAUGGCGAUGCAUCACGGUUACUCCAACAAAAUUCACCAACUUUAGAAUUUGGUAAUAUGGGGAUAGGCCUAAAAUAGUGAAGUGAAUAUAUAUGUCAUGCUAUUUAUUUCAUGACAACUCCUAUCAGUAUCAUUAUAAAACAGGCAAUGACAAUAUUAUACAAAUUGCAAUUUAAAUAUCACUACAAUUAUAGUAUCAUCAUCAUAAUCAUCCUCAGAGAAGUACAAGUAACUUCCAAAAUAAAGGAAACACCAACAUAAAGUGUCUUAAUAGGGUGUUGGGUCACCACGAGCCGCCAGAACUGUUUCAAUGCACCUUGCAUAGAUUCUACAAGUGCCUGGAUCUCUACUGGAGGGAGGUGACACCAAUUUUCCUCUAGAAAUUCCAUCAUUUUGUGUUUUGUUGAUGCUGGUGGUGGAAAACGGUCUCAGGCGCCACUCCAGAAUCUCCAAUAAGUGUUCAAUUGGGUUGAGAUCUGGUGACUGAGACAAACACACACACACACACCGUUAACCCUGUAUGCUACUUUGAGACCCCUCUUUCAAAGUCACUGACAUCUCUUCAUCCAGCCAUGGUAACCAAAAUAAUGGGCAACUGGGCAUUUUUAUACAUGACCAUAAGAAUGAAGGGAUAAUAAUAAUUGCAUAAUUAACUCAGGAACAACACCUGUGUGGAAGGACCUGCUUUCAAUAUACUUUGUAUCCCUCAUUUAAUCAAGUGUUUCCUUUAUUUUGGCAGUUACAUGUGUUGGACAUCAUAAUGCUUUUGGACUGGCCUAAGUGGCCAUACAGAAUGUUGAUAAAUAUCUGGAAUGAAUCGAGUUAGAAAUUAUUUAGCUUAAACUAUUGACAGAUUUGUAAUCCUUAAGUGUACAACAGGGUAAUGACAUUAGCAUAUUAAUUGACUGAUUUAAUUAGAAUUCAGAAGAAAAUUGGUCACAUUUAACAUGCGUUGCUCUCAUGCCUAUGGAGCAUGCUGUAAUGACACUAAUAAUAAUGUUGCAUUAAAUGCCCAAUAAUGACAUAAUAAUGUAUGUAUUGCUUUGUUAUUACAAAGGUAAACUGUUUCUGGUACAACACUGUUACUAUUACCAUUUGUAUGAUAACAAUAACUGUCCAUUGCUAUGUAUUUACAAAGCAAUAAUCAAGUUACUAUGUUACAAAAUGUGAAUUCAAUGUUUUUAAGAUGAUCUAUUUUAUGCUAAAAAACAGUACCUAUAUUCUUUCAGUUGCCAGGAUAAUUGUAAUACAGUGGAUGUAAAAUGUUUUUUUUUAAAUGUACAAUUAAAAUUGGACUUACUGUUGAAGGACCCAAAACCUUCAACAGUAAGUCUGAGAUUCCUUUAUUGUUGCAUGCUGAAUGCAAUCAUAUUUUUUAUUGGUAUCAAACCAAAUUUUACUUGUCGCAUACACGUGUUUAGCAGAUGUUAUUGCGGGUGUAGCGAAAUGCUUAUUUUCAUGUGUGAAUGAGUUUCGUUAGAGUGCAUGAAUCAAUUUAUUGACUAACCCAUGUUGUCUAAUUUGGAGUUGACAUAUUGUAGAUAAAUAAAACAAAUUGAUGCAUAAACCCACCCGUUUCCCAACAACAGCCAGUAUCUGUACAGGCAGCUAUGCCAUGUAGAGAAGGAGUUGAGCCUACUGGGACCCUCUCGUUUCCCCAACUCAGACAGCAACUGCCGGG